Molecule: long non-coding RNA, 413 nt
Organism: Pomacea canaliculata
Lineage: Eukaryota; Metazoa; Mollusca; Gastropoda; Architaenioglossa; Ampullariidae
Exons: 4
Source: RefSeq, a predicted model, not a curated record
AGAAGAAAGCCUUCCUGAUGUGGAGAAACGUCUACGCAUGCGCAGCCUUAGUGCUGCUUACCGCAGGCAAACCUAGGAAGCUGACGUAGUCUGCUUUAAUGUCUAUACACACACGUGACCUGCUGACGUAAAGACAACCGGAUCCGACAUCUGCUGCCCGGAUCUUCCCCUGCAGGUAAAUAAGGUCCGCCAUCGGGAGUGCAAACAAACGUCAGACGUCACACGUUACCUGCGGCAUCAACAUGAGAGUAGUUGUCCUUCUGGCUGUGGCGGUGACCAUGACAUAUGCACAGGUCCCUGGGACAUACAGAAUCACAUGUGCCUCAACUACUUGUCUGGUAAACUCCAUUUGUCGUGAAGUGCUGAACACAACUUCGGCGAAAUCGUUCCCCUGUGUUUUGACCCCAUGCGCU